RNAcentral lists this ribosomal RNA (471 nucleotides) under uncultured bacterium. RNAcentral's name for it is "bacterial SSU rRNA". It matches the Rfam family "Bacterial small subunit ribosomal RNA", at positions 370 to 827 of the family's 1533-position model. The record is from RNAcentral.
AAUGGGGGAAACCCUGACGCAGCAACGCCGCGUGUGGGAAGAAGGCCUUCGGGUCGUAAACCACUUUUUGCAACGGGCGAAAAAGGGAUAUCGAACAAAUAUCCCCGAUGACGGUACCGUGAGAAUAAGCCACGGCUAACUCUGUGCCCAGCAGGCCGCGGUAAGACAGAGGUGGCAAGCGUUUGUUCGGAAUUACUGGGCGUAAAGAGUCNGUAGGUGGUUUGUCAAGUCUUUGGUGAAAGGCCGUAGCUUAACUAUGGGGAAUGCCAAAGAGACUGGCAGGCUGGAGGCUGGGAGAGGGAAGCGGAAUUUCUGGUGUAGCGGUGAAAUGCGUAGAUAUCAGAAGGAAGGCCGGUGGCGAAGGCGGCUUCCUGGAACAGUCCUGACACUGAGAGACGAAAGCGUGGGGGAGCAAACAGGAUUAGAUACCCUGGUAGUCCACGCCCUAAACGAUGGGUACUAAGUGUGGAG